GUAGUCUGCAACUCGACUACAUGAAGCUGGAAUCGCUAGUAAUCGCAAAUCAGAAUGUUGCGGUGAAUACGUUCCCGGGUCUUGUACACACCGCCCGUCACACCAUGGGAGUCGGAAAUGCCCGAAGUCUGUGACCCAACGAAAGAGGGAGCAGCCGAAGGCAGGUCUGAUAACUGGGGUGAAGUCGUAACAAGGUAUC
This 199-nucleotide ribosomal RNA is filed under the name uncultured bacterium. RNAcentral describes it as "partial 16S ribosomal RNA". It matches the Rfam family "Bacterial small subunit ribosomal RNA", at positions 1300 to 1500 of the family's 1533-position model. The record is from RNAcentral.